This 253-nucleotide ribosomal RNA is filed under the name uncultured bacterium. Its description in RNAcentral is "partial 16S ribosomal RNA". It matches the Rfam family "Bacterial small subunit ribosomal RNA", at positions 524 to 776 of the family's 1533-position model. The record is from RNAcentral.
UACGGGGGGAGCAAGCGUUGUUCGGAUUUACUGGGCGUAAAGGGCGCGUAGGCGGCUUAUCAAGUCAGGCGUGAAAUUCCCGGGCUCAACCUGGGGGCUGCGCUUGAUACUGAUGAGCUUGAAUGCGGGAGAGGAUAGUGGAAUUCCCAGUGUAGAGGUGAAAUUCGUAGAUAUUGGGAAGAACACCGGUGGCGAAGGCGGCUAUCUGGCCCGUAAUUGACGCUGAGGCGCGAAAGCGUGGGGAGCAAACAGG